UAAUACGGGGGGAGCAAACGUUGUUCGGAAUCACUGGGCGUAAAGGGCGCGUAGGCGGCCCCGUAAGUGGUGUGUGAAAUCUCCUGGCUCAACCAGGGAAUUGCGCUCCAAACUGCGAGGCUUGAGGACAGUAGAGGAAGCUGGAAUUCCAGGUGUAGCGGUGAAAUGCGUAGAUAUCUGGAGGAACACCGUUGGCGAAGGCGAGCUUCUGGGCUGUUCCUGACGCUGAAGUGCGAAAGCUGGGGGAGCAAACAGGAUUAGAUACCCUGGUAGUCCCAGCUGUAAACGGUGAACACUAGGUGUGGGAGGUGUCGACCCUUCCCGUGCCGCAGCUAACGCAUUAAGUGUUCCGCCUGGGGAGUACGGUCGCAAGGCUG
RNAcentral lists this ribosomal RNA (377 nucleotides) under uncultured bacterium. RNAcentral describes it as "bacterial SSU rRNA". It matches the Rfam family "Bacterial small subunit ribosomal RNA", at positions 521 to 896 of the family's 1533-position model. The record is from RNAcentral.